This 291-nucleotide ribosomal RNA is filed under the name uncultured Enterococcus sp. RNAcentral's name for it is "partial 16S ribosomal RNA". The stretch from base 1 to 207 matches the Rfam family "Bacterial small subunit ribosomal RNA", at positions 338 to 539 of the family's 1533-position model. Lineage: Bacteria; Bacillati; Bacillota; Bacilli; Lactobacillales; Enterococcaceae. The record is from RNAcentral.
CCUACGGGAGGCAGCAGCCGCGAUAAUAGACGAAAGUCUGACCGAGCAACGCCGCGUGAGUGAAGAAGGUUUUCGGAUCGUAAAACUCUGUUGUUAGAGAAGAACAAGGAUGAGAGUAAAAUGUUCAUCCCUUGACGGUAUCUAACCAGAAAGCCACGGCUAACUACGUGCCAGCAGCCGCGGUAAUAGCUCACCUAGGCGACGAUCCCUAGCUGGUCUGAGAGGAUGACCAGCCACACUGGAACUGAGACACGGUCCAGACUCCUACGGGAGGCAGCAGCCGCGGUAAUA